Molecule: ribosomal RNA, 433 nt
Filed under: uncultured bacterium
Lineage: Bacteria
Description: partial 16S ribosomal RNA
Rfam family: Bacterial small subunit ribosomal RNA
Source: RNAcentral
AACGAACGCUGGCGGCAUGCCUAACACAUGCAAGUCGAACGAGACCUUCGGGUCUAGUGGCGUACGGGUGCGUAACGCGUGGGAACCUGCCCUUAGGUUCGGAAUAACUCCCCGAAAGGGGUGCUAAUACCGGAUAAUGUCUUCGGACCAAAGAUUUAUCGCCUUUGGGUGGGCCCGCGUUGGAUUAGCUAGUUGGUAGGGUAAAAGCCUACCAAGGCGACGAUCCAUAGCUGGUCUGAGAGGAUGAUCAGCCACACUGGGACUGAGACACGGCCCAGACUCCUACGGGAGGCAGCAGUGGGGAAUAUUGGACAAUGGGCGAAAGCCUGAUCCAGCAAUGCCGCGUGAGUGAUGAAGGCCUUAGGGUUGUAAAGCUCUUUUACCCGGGAUGAUAAUGACAGUACCGGGAGAAUAAGCUCCGGCUAACUCCGUG